GGGCCCGCACAAGCAGUGGAUUAUGUGGUUUAAUUCGAAGCAACGCGAAGAACCUUACCAGGUCUUGACAUCCCGUGCAUAGUGUAGAGAUACAUGAAGUUUUUUCGGAACACGGAGACAGGUGGUGCAUGGUUGUCGUCAGCUCGUGUCGUGAGAUGUUGGGUUAAGUCCCGCAACGAGCGCAACCCUUAUUGUUAGUUGCUACGCAAGAGCACUCUAACGAGACUGCCGUUGACAAAACGGAGGAAGGUGGGGAUGACGUCAAAUCAUCAUGCCCCUUAUGACCUGGGCUACACACGUAAUACAAUGGCGGCCAACAGAGGGCAGCAACACCGCGAGGUGAAGCGAAUCCCCAAAAGCCGUCUCAGUUCGGAUUGCAGGCUGCAACUCGCCUGCAUGAAGUCGGAAUUGCUAGUAAUCGCGGAUCAGCACGCCG
RNAcentral lists this ribosomal RNA (436 nucleotides) under uncultured Bacillota bacterium. RNAcentral describes it as "bacterial SSU rRNA". It matches the Rfam family "Bacterial small subunit ribosomal RNA", at positions 917 to 1359 of the family's 1533-position model. The record is from RNAcentral. Lineage: Bacteria; Bacillati; Bacillota.